Molecule: non-coding RNA, 45 nt
Filed under: Schistosoma haematobium
Lineage: Eukaryota; Metazoa; Platyhelminthes; Trematoda; Strigeidida; Schistosomatidae
Source: RNAcentral
AUCCAUCUGACGAGUCCCAAACAGGACGAAACAUGCGUCCUGGAU